Molecule: ribosomal RNA, 497 nt
Filed under: uncultured bacterium
Lineage: Bacteria
Description: partial 16S ribosomal RNA
Rfam family: Bacterial small subunit ribosomal RNA
Source: RNAcentral
GAUGAACGCUGGCGGCGUGCCUAAUACAUGCAAGUCGAGCGAACAGACGAGGAGCUUGCUCCUCUGACGUUAGCGGCGGACUGGUGAGUAACACGUGGAUAACCUACCUAUAAGACUGGGAUAACUUCGGGAAACCGGAGCUAAUACCGGAUAAUAUAUUGAACCGCAUGGUUCAAUAGUGAAAGACGGUUUUGCUGUCACUUAUAGAUGGAUCCGCGCCGCAUUAGCUAGUUGGUAAGGUAACGGCUUACCAAGGCAACGAUGCGUAGCCGACCUGAGAGGGUGAUCGGCCACACUGGAACUGAGACACGGUCCAGACUCCUACGGGAGGCAGCAGUAGGGAAUCUUCCGCAAUGGGCGAAAGCCUGACGGAGCAACGCCGCGUGAGUGAUGAAGGUCUUCGGAGCGUAAAACUCUGUUAUUAGGGAAGAACAAAUGUGUAAGUAACUAUGCACGUCUUGACGGUACCUAAUCAGAAAGCCACGGCUAACUACGUG